RNAcentral lists this long non-coding RNA (280 nucleotides) under Elaeis guineensis (African oil palm). Its description in RNAcentral is "long non-coding RNA (EGUI_LNC068205)". The record is from RNAcentral. Lineage: Eukaryota; Viridiplantae; Streptophyta; Magnoliopsida; Arecales; Arecaceae.
CCCUGACCGUCCGAGCUUCCGGACUUCUCCGAUAAUGAGCUUCUCCAUCCAUCUACCGUGCCAUUCCAAAGGCUCUCUAGGCCUCACUGUCAGCCGACCUUCUACAGUGACCAACUAUUCUCCGAACUCCUUCCAGACUCCGUCAAUAUCCGAGCUUCUUUGACAAUGAGGUUUCUACAAAAAUCGGACUCCAUCCGAGUUUCUACGGCGGUCGACCACCUUCAAGAUUCUAAUCGAGCUCCUGUGAGAGCCAAACUUCUACUACGAGCGAUCUACUCUG